AUUCCAGGGCUGUGAAGUCAUCCGGAGCCACGAAGUUUACUUAACCCUUGCAGCCGGUUUGGGUGUACAAACCACGAUGGCGAUCAGAGCCUACAGACCAGAGGCACAAUGGGCUGUGUGUAUCUGUGGUUUUACGCUUUCCCACUGAGGCCUUUAAGGUUUCAGAGUCACUCCAGAAACUUCAAGGAAAAGAGUCAGCACUUUAGAAGGAAAUGAGCAGUAGUGGAGUUUGGAGCUGAACUUUUUGAGUUCACACCAGGAGGGACAUUUGGCAGCCUCAGAGCACAUACUUUGAGGAAAUGCUGGCACAAAAUAAACAAGAGUGGGCUUGACAGAGAGCCCUUGAAGCAGCGACAUUCGUUCAGCAGCCAGCAGAAUGGGCUCUCCAUGGCAGCUCAUGGGAGGGGCCUAUCUGAAAAUGCCUGUAGAGGGCUUUGUGUAAUAAAGAGCCAUCUCAACAGAUGGCUCCUGUCUCCUCCUUCAUGGGAUUAUGCUAAAACAACUUCAGUGAUUCGGAACCAUGGUCGCUCCCAGGAGCCUCUGCCCUGUACUGAAUUCUUCCUUUUCUCUGGCCCAGCGUGCAGUGGUCUGUGUUUUCUCCCUCUUGUGGAACAAGGGAGAAGUCACUUAUAGAAGAAACAGACGGCCACCACAGCUUCCUGCUCUAAGGAUCCACAGAGACUGCUCUUCUGUGACCUGCCCAGAAGCAAAAGAGACCUCUGGGGUCCCGGACCCCAGAUCUAGUCCCCCCUCCAUCUGGUCCUCACCUGUGACCAUGCCCAAGCGGGUGUGGUUAGUGCUACAGGUGUGGGUGGGGUGGGUAUCUCCCUAUACCUCCCUGAAGUCCAUUUCCUCCUUCUGUGUACUGAACAAGGGAUAGAGCUCCAUGUAUUUCAUACAUGCUCAAUAAAUAAGGCGAAGUUAAACUUGACUUUGCCCCAAAGACCUGAAAUUAAUAAUGUGAAGCUAUGAAGGGAUUUUGUUGCACUUGUCUUUUGUCACUAGUCUCUCACCUCAUUGACAUCAUCUCUUGCUAAUAAACCAGAAGGGCAUUGCUAUUGCUUAUGAACUUACACUGUCAAAGAGCCCAGCACAAUCCAAUUCUCUCUGUGCAGUAUUUGGUCAGUGACUU
RNAcentral lists this long non-coding RNA (1132 nucleotides) under Cricetulus griseus (Chinese hamster). Its description in RNAcentral is "lncRNA (ENSCGRG00000025716.1)". Lineage: Eukaryota; Metazoa; Chordata; Mammalia; Rodentia; Cricetidae. The record is from RNAcentral.